Callipepla squamata (scaled quail) is the source of this 73-nucleotide small nucleolar RNA. It matches the Rfam family "Small nucleolar RNA SNORD19". From Rfam's summary of the family: Homo sapiens C/D box snoRNA HBII-108: This snoRNA is the human orthologue of the mouse MBII-108 and is predicted to guide 2'O-ribose methylation of the small 18S rRNA on position G683. snoRNA HBII-108 is encoded in a nucleostemin (NS) gene intron like the HBII-210 The record is from Rfam. Lineage: Eukaryota; Metazoa; Chordata; Aves; Galliformes; Odontophoridae.
GAGAAAUGAGGAUAAAGACUUUGUCUUAAUUCUGUAUGAAGACUUCAGAUCCAACUCUGAUCUCACGUGCAAG